RNAcentral lists this ribosomal RNA (434 nucleotides) under uncultured bacterium. RNAcentral's name for it is "bacterial SSU rRNA". It matches the Rfam family "Bacterial small subunit ribosomal RNA", at positions 29 to 509 of the family's 1533-position model. The record is from RNAcentral.
AAUGAACGCUGGCGGCAUGCCUAACACAUGCAAGUCGAACGAGACCUUCGGGUCUAGUGGCGCACGGGUGCGUAACGCGUGGGAAUCUACCCUUGGGUUCGGAAUAACAGUGGGAAACUACUGCUAAUACCGGAUAAUGACGUAAGUCCAAAGAUUUAUCGCCCAAGGAUGAGCCCGCGUAGGAUUAGCUAGUUGGUGAGGUAAAAGCUCACCAAGGCGACGAUCCUUAGCUGGCUGAGAGGAUGAUCAGCCACACUGGGACUGAGACACGGGCCCAGACUCCUACGGGAGGCAGCAGUGGGGAAUAUUGGACAAUGGCGAAAGCCUGAUCCAGCAAUGCCGCGUGAGUGAUGAAGGCCUUAGGGUUGUAAAGCUCUUUUACCCGGGAUGAUAAUGACAGUACCGGGAGAAUAAGCUCCGGCUAACUCCGUGCC